This 390-nucleotide ribosomal RNA is filed under the name uncultured bacterium. RNAcentral describes it as "bacterial SSU rRNA". It matches the Rfam family "Bacterial small subunit ribosomal RNA", at positions 28 to 419 of the family's 1533-position model. The record is from RNAcentral.
GACGAACGCUGGCGGCGUGCUUAACACAUGCAAGUCGAGCGGUAAGGCCCUUUCGGGGGUACACGAGCGGCGAACGGGUGAGUAACACGUGGGUGACCUGCCCUCAGCUCUGGGAUAAGCCUGGGAAACUGGGUCUAAUACUGGAUAUGACUCCACGGUGCAUGUCGUGGGGUGGAAAGCCUUGUGCGGCUGAGGAUGGGCCCGCGGCCUAUCAGCUUGUUGGUGGGGUGANGGCCUACCAAGGCGACGACGGGUAGCCGGCCUGAGAGGGCGACCGGCCACACUGGGACUGAGACACGGCCCAGACUCCUACGGGAGGCAGCAGUGGGGAAUCUUGCGCAAUGGGCGAAAGCCUGACGCAGCGACGCCGCGUGAGGGAUGACGGCCUGU